GAGUUUGAUUCUGGCUCAGGAUGAACGCUGGCGGCGUGCUUAACACAUGCAAGUCGAACGGGCGAAUUAUAUCGGAGGCCUUCGGGCCGAAGAGAUAAUAAGCUAGUGGCGGACGGGUGCGUAACGUGUGGGUAAUCUGCCUUUGUCAUAGGAAUAACUGCUUGAAAAAGUAGCUAAUACCAAAUAACAUAUCGUAUAGGCAUCUAUAAGAUAUCAAAGAGAAAUCGGACAAAGAUGAGCCCGCAUCUGAUUAGCUGGUUGGUAGGGUAAAAGCCUACCAAGGCGACGAUCAGUAGCCGGCCUGAGAGGGUGAACGGCCACAUUGGAACUGAGACACGGUCCAAACUCCUACGGGAGGCAGCAGUGGGGAAUAUUGCACAAUGGGGGGAACCCUGAUGCAGCAACGCCGCGUGAGUGAAGAAGGCUUUCGAGUCGUAAAACUUCUGUUGUAAGGGAAGAUAAUGACCGUNCNUAAG
RNAcentral lists this ribosomal RNA (476 nucleotides) under Filifactor villosus. Its description in RNAcentral is "bacterial SSU rRNA". It matches the Rfam family "Bacterial small subunit ribosomal RNA", at positions 9 to 465 of the family's 1533-position model. Lineage: Bacteria; Bacillati; Bacillota; Clostridia; Peptostreptococcales; Filifactoraceae. The record is from RNAcentral.